UCUCAGUUCCCAUAGAUGCUACUUUUCCUGAAGCACAUCUGCUAAGCACUCUUCUGCACAUGCAAGGAGGGUGUGAAAAGUUCAAGGGUGCUCAGAAAAGGGCAUUUGAGUGUUGAUUGAGUGCUGUCCAUGCUCUGAAUUCAGACAUACCGUGGAGUGGAAUAACAGGGUGCUUGCACCUCUUGCUUUGAGUACCGCAGAAGAAUGAGCCAUUCUUGAGAAAGCCCCUUGAGAAGAGAAAUUUCCAGUUAAAGGAACUAUUCACCCCUGGCUAGUGGUCAAGCCACUUUGUUUUCAAGAGAGGACUUUACAAAGGCCAUCAGGAGCUUCACAACACUGGAGCAGAGUGAAUACUUGGUUUAGUAUAUUAGGCCCUUCAAGCCACUCCUUCAUAAUCCUCUAACUGUGCUCGAAAUUCCCACCUUCUCAAAACUCCUAGUCUCUUGACCAUAUCUGGUCCUGUUGUACUUGAGUGCCUUUGCGCAUGUUUCUUCUGCUUGAAGUCAUGUCUUCGCUGUUAAAGGCAAAACCCAGAACAAGUAAGGAAGUGUUGCAAUAGGGAGUGCACCAAGGUUGGAGAUCAGAGUGUUUUGGCAGGGUGGUUUUGCCUUUAACUUUAUAGGGAGGAGUAGACAAGCCAUAGAUAGGAUGAUUUUGCAGCUGGGGUUGUUUUUGUAAUCAGAGGGAGGCUCGGUCAGUUAGAUGAGCAAGAAGAGUUUAUCCCUCAGUCAAGCUAGUUUUAGGGGGAUAAACAGUUCAGUUAAUCAUUUAUGAGAUAAAGGAUGGGAAUUUUCAGGGUCAGUGUCUGGUCUUGUCACAUAUAAACGAGGGAGCCAUCUGUGAGUCUCAUGGGAGUUAGGAGGCAGGGUAAACCUUGAGUCUUGUUUACAUCAGAGUAUAUGGUUCUUUGCCAUUAGCCCUUUUCCAGGACACAUAAGGGGAGAGGGAUUUUGGAAAACAAAAGGUAAGAAAGAUUGUCUCCAUUCUCUAGGACCACAGGUUUAGGUAAAGUUUAACAUUGUCACUACCCUGGUCCAGAAAACUCUUGUUAAACAUUUUGGCCCCUAUGGCUUUUUUUUCAUCAUAAUCAGACUCUGAGAUAUAUUUUCUUGCAGGAUGUUUUCUGGGGAGUAAUCUUGGGAUCCAUACCUGUGGGGAGCAGUUGAGGAAAGCUGGUUUUGGUGGAGCAGAGUUUAACAAACCAAAUAUGGUCCAUGGCAUGUUUGUAUGUGGUCCUGAGCUAAGUAAGAAUGGUUUUUACAUUUUUAAUGUGUGUGUGUGUGUGUGUGUGU
Long non-coding RNA from Ictidomys tridecemlineatus (thirteen-lined ground squirrel), 1292 nucleotides. RefSeq lists it as uncharacterized. NCBI's taxonomy places the organism in Eukaryota, Metazoa, Chordata, Mammalia, Rodentia, Sciuridae. The record is from RefSeq and is a predicted model, not a curated record.